CUUGAACCAGACGGGAAAGAAAAAGACUUGAAAGAGACCAAACAAGGUACGAGGAGCAACGCUCCGACAGACACAGAGAGAACUCAGACAUUCGACUGGAGCCCGAGAUAUGUGUGUAACGAAGCUCCGGGACUCUGAAGUCUGAUCCCAUUCGUAACGCGAAAAUUCACUAUAAAUGCCACUCUUCUCUCACACUCACCGCUCUUCGUCUUCUCUCCCAACCUCCUAUGAGUCAUACUCUUCCAAACUUCUCAAGCCCCUAAAACCCAGUUCUGCCCCUCCCACCUCUCGCUUCCCACUCCCCAUUCUCGUCUUUUCACUCCUCUGCUUCCUCUUUGGCCUCUCCGCCACCAUCUUUGCCGUCUACUCUCUCCGCCGUCCCAUACCCGUGCCUAGCUUCCGAUGCGGCCGAUCCGAAGACACCUUUCGGGCAUUCUACUCCACCUCCAGCUCUCGGAAGCUCGGAGAUCGUGGUGCCUUGGUGGAGCGGCCUAAGCUUCUUGGGUUCGUUGGAAUUCAGACCGUUUUCGGCUCCGUUGAUCGCCGGGCAGCUCUUCGGAGCACUUGGUUUCCCUCUGAUCCAGAUGGGCUUUUGAGGUUGGAACAAGCCACUGGUUUAGCUUUUAGGUUUGUAAUUGGACGAUCCAAAAAUUCAAAAAAGAUGGUAGAGCAUCAUGAAGAGGUGGAGAAGUACAAGGAUUUCAUGUUUAUUGAUCUUGAGGAAGAAUAUUUAAAGCUUCCAUACAAAUCGUUGGCAUUUUUCAAAGCAGCGUCUGAACUUUUUGACGCAGAUUAUUAUGUCAAAGCUGAUGAUGCCAUUUAUUUACGUCCUGAUCGACUAGCAACUCUUCUAGCAAAGGAGCGAACCCAUUCACUGACUUACAUUGGAUGUAUGAAGAAAGGACCAGUGAUCACUGACCCUAAAAUGAAAUGGUAUGAGAAAUCGGGACAUCUGAUUGGAUCUGAAUACUUUUUGCAUGCUUAUGGUCCUAUAUUUGUCCUUUCUGCGGAGGUGGUAGCUUCACUAGCAACUGCCAGAAAUAAUAGCCUUCAGUUUGAGGAUGUUUAGCAAUGAAGAUGUCACAAUUGGGUCAUGGAUGCUUGCUAUGAAUGUGCAUCAUGAAGAUAACCGGGCACUAUGUGACCCUCGAUGCACACCUACAUCUAUUGCUGUGUGGGACAUCCCAAAAUGUUCAGUGUGUACUGCUGUGAAUUGGUCUUCAAAUCCUUCACAGGUAAUCCCUACACACUCUUGUAUCUCAUUUACAUUGUUCAAACCUAUCCGAUGAUGAAUUAGCUAUAUUGUUAAUCAGUGGGAGAGAUAUUAGGGGGACAAUAUCUUCUGUAGACUCCGCUCCAAACUGUGGGCCAGGCCUUAUAAAUUUCUCCUCGCAAGGCACCAAUGACGGCCCCAUCCCUUCCUCCACACCAAUUCCUAAAACUCGCAUCUCCUCCACAGCGCCAUUGAUGAUGUCACCACCUUGGCCAAAUUUAUGUGUUGACCCACAAGAUGCCUGAAGAGGUACUGAGGAACUGUUCACUCCGACAUGGGUGGUGGAACCAUGGUCGCCAUUUGAAGUUUGGGGUUAGCAGAAACUCCCCAAAAACUUGGCUAUACCUCAGGUUCCAUUGUGGGUACUGUCAAUUCGACAAAGAUAGCAUUGACUGCCACUCGUCGGUGAACUUUUCCAAGUCACCCUUGGUGAGGGGCAGUCCGUUUCGGCCAUCUCCAUGCUAAUACCCGACAUAGAACCCACUUUGAAUGAAGAUGACCCGCUUCUCCAUUUGACCUGCCACACUCGCCUGGGUCUAGAUAUUGAAAUUGGGCCAAACCCAACUUUCUUUUUUCCUUUAUCUAAUUUUAUAGCAUUCAGCCCAUCACUUAACACGCCAAGCCCACCCUUGUUGGGCCUUACAGUACCAUUACCACCUCUUAGCACACCUAGCCCUUACAGUGCAUGCCAUUGGGAAGACCCAAACCAUCCAAGUCGGACCUGUUCUGACUUAGAAUAUGUCCAUGUGCAAUUUGUAGAGGCUGCAGACCCCUUUCACUGCUUUCCUUUUUGCCCCUAUUCAGAGCUUCUGCAUAUGAUUGCCUUGCCAACGUGGUUGCACUCGGGUCUUUUUGCCUCAGGCCCAUAAUGUUUUUCUCAUGAGUAGAUAAAUUCUUUUGGCUUUUCCCCAAUGACCCAUCUCCAUGAUUGCCAGGAAAAAGAUUAGCGAAUCUACGCAACUCGACAACAAAUUUCUCCUAACCCAGGCCUUCAUAAUCCUAUUUUUUAAAGCCUUGUGCCAUUGGUUCUUUUCUAUUAAGUACCAUGAGAUAAAUUUAUGACGUGAUAUGAAAGAAUGUUAUUUCGUAGAUUUUAAGUGAAGGCAUUUUCUUGGCAAGCGAGAUGUAAUUGUUCUGAGCUGUUCGUUUUUAAUGUCCAUGCUAUGUAGUGACACUCUGGCCUAGACCGCAGAAAGAACUGAUAGUGUACUGUAAUUAUACAUACAAGGAAGAUCGUUAAUAUUUUUAUUUGUCUUGAAAGAGGAGUUGUUAGGACCUGUUUGGGAUUGCGGUGGAAGGUCUAAAAAGUACAAUAGAACGGUAUAAAGUGCUUAUAUGAUAAAAUUUAUCCGUUUGGUAGUUUUACAUUAAAGUACUUUUAGACCAAGAAAAAGCAGAAAACUACGUUUCAACAAAAGUACUAAAGUGAUGCUUUUUGUCAGAAGCACUUCAGAAAAAGUAAUCUCUAUUUUACCGUACUAUGUAUAUUACGAAAUGACCAUCAUCAUUUUAGCACAAUGACAACUUUGUCAAUUUAUAGUUUUUAUUAUUCCCGUAUAAUCUGCUCAAGAUUUUGCCCAUCAAUAUUUUUCAUUCUUUUCCUAUCACUUAUGCAUCGUUGAAGAAAUUUUUUUUUUCAUUAUAAUUAUUGAAAAAUCUAUUAGACUAUUUUUGUUAUUAUUUUAUUAUAAUAUUUUAUUUUUAUCAAGUAUAUGCCCUUUUAUGUCAUUUUUAUGCCAAAAAGUGCCAUUUAAAUUUGUUUCCAUACAAAUUAGUAUUUUUAAAAGUGUUAUAGACAUAAGCAUCUCAAACAAUAAAUAGCUUUUUAACAGUAGAGUUUAUUGCAUUAAGCUCUAAGCUAUAAGCUUUAAAUUAAAAGUAAUAUUUUUUACCGCAAUCUCAAACAUGUACUUAAUCUGAGUUUCAUUUCCUCUUAAUCUGAGUUUCAUUUCCUCAGGAUUUCUCUCAUUCUGAAUUUAGUUGUCGAACCAUGCAAUAAUCCUUGAGGGUUUGACUUCAACUAGUGCAGAAAAUGCAAUUGUUUAACAUAACGUGGCUGUUAACACUUUCGCAUAGAUAAUAUUUACUUUUUCUUGUUUUACCACGAUGAGUGAUUGCCUAUGUAUUGUCGUGAACUCAGUGAAUACUGUACUGAAACCAAGAGGUGCUUUUUCUGUAGCAUGCUUUAUAAUAAGAAAACUAUUGAAAAUUGUCAGGUUUAUGCAACCCAGCUAGACGGCUGAAGGAGCUUCACAAGACGA
This is an RNA transcript of Carya illinoinensis, 3534 nucleotides long. It is a transcript of the gene named probable beta-1,3-galactosyltransferase 12, with no coding region annotated. NCBI's taxonomy places the organism in Eukaryota, Viridiplantae, Streptophyta, Magnoliopsida, Fagales, Juglandaceae. The transcript has 7 exons. The record is from RefSeq and is a predicted model, not a curated record.